GUUUCUGAGGAGAAUUGAGGAUUUAGUAAUUAAAAUGUUCCUGACUGCUGUGAAUUUGAGUUUGUUUCUCUGAAUACCACCCACCUGUGCGAUAUUCUUGGAUGAUUCAGACAAAACUCAUGGGAGGGUCCAGGUUGACAUAACUGAAGCAUUUCCAUAGAGAGCCACUUUGCAUCAGCAGCACCAUGCUCCAGUGCUCUGGGAGAGUUUAUAGUCCUGAGAGUUGAACACUGGAUGACUGACAGCUGUCCUUCAUGACAACAGAAGACACAGAAAUCCUCCUCAUCAAAAACAUGACUUUGACCUGCGUCCUCAUCUGGACUCUCCUCUGCUGCUGCUUCACAGAGUCCAGAGGUCAGAUCACAGUGACUCAGCCUGCAGCAGUGAGUUCUGCUCUGGGAGGCUCCGUCACCAUCAACUGUAGGACCAGUCAGAGGGUUCAUGGUGGGAGCUAUUUAGCCUGGUACCAACAGAGAGAUGGAGAAACUCCUAAACUUCUCAUUUACACUGCAAGCACUCGAGCAUCAGGGAUUCCAGAUCGUUUUACAGGCAGUGGAUCAAACUCUGCCUUCACUCUGACCAUCAGUGGAGUUCAGGCUGAAGAUGCAGCAGUUUACUACUGUCAGAGUUUCCACUAUCCCAACAGUCAGUAUGUGUUCACACAGUGAAAAACCGUCAUACAAAAACCUCCCUCAGUCAGACUGAACAGAAACUGAACUGACUGCUGCAGCUGGAAGCUACUGCAGAGACUGAUACACUUCACUGAGGACACACACACACACACACACACACACACACACACACACACACACACACACACACACACACACUCAGCUUGAUAACACAAGAUUAGAACAUUUCUUAAUCGAAGACAACAUGAGGACACAGAGCAGCAUCAGAAUCAAUUCUGAUCAAGGUUGUCUCAAAAAAAGCUGUUAUCCUCAAAUCACAACUGAUAUUAUCUUAAACAAAUAAAAUGAUGUCCAGUGAAUAAAAGUUAAAUGUCUGCUAUGAUCAUAAAAAAGGAUCAAUGACAAAAUUAUAUCUUCAUCUGAAACAAUAUCAACUUCACAUUAAAAAGUGAAAUAAUUGACUG
This is a non-coding RNA of Acanthopagrus latus (yellowfin seabream), 1096 nucleotides long. The record is from the annotation of a RefSeq genome assembly. NCBI's taxonomy places the organism in Eukaryota, Metazoa, Chordata, Actinopteri, Spariformes, Sparidae.